Molecule: transfer RNA, 73 nt
Organism: Ipomoea nil (Japanese morning glory)
Lineage: Eukaryota; Viridiplantae; Streptophyta; Magnoliopsida; Solanales; Convolvulaceae
Rfam family: tRNA
About the family: Transfer RNA (tRNA) molecules are approximately 80 nucleotides in length.
Source: Rfam
GGGGGUUUAGCUCAUAUGGUAGAGCGCUUGCUUCGCAUGCGAGAGGCACAAGGUUCAAUUCCCUGCACUUCCA